Molecule: ribosomal RNA, 231 nt
Filed under: uncultured bacterium
Lineage: Bacteria
Description: partial 16S ribosomal RNA
Rfam family: Bacterial small subunit ribosomal RNA
Source: RNAcentral
GUUUCCUACGGGACGCAGCAGUGGGGAAUAUUGCACAAUGGGGGAAACCCUGAUGCAGCAACGCCGCGUGAGUGAAGAAGUAUUUCGGUAUGUAAAGCUCUAUCAGCAGGGAAGAAGAUGAAGGUACCUGAUUAAGAAGCCCCGGCUAACUACGUGCCAGCAGCCGCGGUAAUACGUAGGGGGCAAGCGUUAUCCGGAUUUACUGGGUGUAAAGGGAGCGCAGACGGCAGU